RNAcentral lists this non-coding RNA (29 nucleotides) under Homo sapiens (human). Lineage: Eukaryota; Metazoa; Chordata; Mammalia; Primates; Hominidae. The record is from RNAcentral.
UGCUAAGCCAUUCGUGAUGAGGAUGAUGU